GAGAAGAAAAGAAGAAGAAGGAGAAGGAGGAGAAAGGGAGAGAGGAGGGAGCAAAUCUCAACCGAUUGGAGUGAUUCAAAAGCCUAAACCACUCUAAAUCUUCUCCUCUUUCAUAAUCCUAGCUUAAUUCUUAGUGGGGAGUUUUGUGUGGUGAGAUAUUGGCUCUCAAAAAUUCGCCCAUUUGGUGAAAUUUGGGGUUUUGAGUGCUUCAACCUCCAUUGAAGCUUGAGGAGCCAUCAAUCCUUGGUUGUGCAACCGUUGGUGGAUUGAGGCAUUUGGACCAACCGUAAGUGAUCAACCAUUGGAGCAAGCUAUGGAGCUUGAUUAGCUCCAUUGGAUAGGUUUUGUUUGAGAAGUGGAGUAUUGUAAUUAACGGGAUGUAGAAUCCGUGGGUGGUGAACAAAGGUCGAAUUGAAGCUUGAGGUAAGGAUGCUGCAGGAGCCUCUGGUGGCAAGUGGCCAUAUCUGGAUUAGCAUAUGCAUGAAGUGUUGCAUUUUUUUGAGAUUAUACAUGUUGUUUUGUAGCUCACAUGUAUAGAAGUGUAAUUAAUAGGCAAUGAUAGAUUUAUGAUUGGUAUAUUGGAAUGGACUUAGCCUAUGCUCAUGCCUUUGGUCAUCUUUUGUUGAUGGGAGCCAAGGGAAUGAUCAUAGUGUUUUGUAAGCUAAGUUCCAUG
Gastrolobium bilobum is the source of this 673-nucleotide long non-coding RNA. RefSeq lists it as uncharacterized. The record is from RefSeq and is a predicted model, not a curated record. The transcript is spliced from 4 exons. Lineage: Eukaryota; Viridiplantae; Streptophyta; Magnoliopsida; Fabales; Fabaceae.